RNAcentral lists this ribosomal RNA (253 nucleotides) under uncultured bacterium. RNAcentral describes it as "partial 16S ribosomal RNA". It matches the Rfam family "Bacterial small subunit ribosomal RNA", at positions 524 to 776 of the family's 1533-position model. The record is from RNAcentral.
GACGAACCACACGACCGUUAUUCGGAAUUACUGGGCUUAAAGGGUGCGUAGGCGGCGCAGAAAGUUGGGUGUGAAAUCCCUCGGCUCAACCGAGGAACUGCGCCCAAAACUACUGUGCUUGAGGAAGAUAGAGGUAAGCGGAACUUACGGUGGAGCGGUGAAAUGCGUUGAUAUCGUAAGGAACACCUGUGGCGAAAGCAGCUUACUGGGCCUUUUCUGACGCUGAUGCACGAAAGCCAGGGGAGCAAACGGG